AGGACGAACGCUGGCGGCGUGCUUAACACAUGCAAGUCGAGCGGAAAGGCCUUUCGGGGUACUCGAGCGGCGAACGGGUGAGUAACACGUGAGUAAUCUGCCCAUCGCUUCAGGAUAGCCAUCGGAAACGGUGAUUAAUACUGGAUAUGACAUUCCUUCGCAUGUUGGGGUGUGGAAAGUUUUUUCGGCGGUUGGAUGUGCUCGCGGCCUAUCAGCUUGUUGGUGGGGUAAUGGCCUACCAAGGCUUUGACGGGUAGCCGGCCUGAGAGGGUGACCGG
This 278-nucleotide ribosomal RNA is filed under the name uncultured soil bacterium. RNAcentral describes it as "partial 16S ribosomal RNA". It matches the Rfam family "Bacterial small subunit ribosomal RNA", at positions 26 to 307 of the family's 1533-position model. The record is from RNAcentral.